GUUUUAAUAAUUUAAUAAAAAUAUUGGUCUUGUAAACCAAAAAUAAGAAAGCACCCUUUUAAAACU
This 66-nucleotide transfer RNA is filed under the name Odontotermes sp. BDIT086. RNAcentral's name for it is "tRNA-Thr". It matches the Rfam family "tRNA". Rfam says of the family: Transfer RNA (tRNA) molecules are approximately 80 nucleotides in length. Their secondary structure includes four short double-helical elements and three loops (D, anti-codon, and T loops). Lineage: Eukaryota; Metazoa; Arthropoda; Insecta; Blattodea; Termitidae. The record is from RNAcentral.